AGAGUUGUUUGGCUUUAAAGUUCAUGAAAUCUUCGAUCAUUCGUUCGUACACAUGCAAUCUAAUUCGCACCAGUAAUGCAUGAGAACAUGCGGCUGAACCACCCAAACCUCGUCUGCUUGGCCGAGCGGCCACGUCCGCCGCCAACCCUCUUGGACGAGAAGUCCUCCGGUGAGCGGUGCCUCCUGUGGCGAUUCUGCUCCUGAUGGAAACUCCCGAGCUUGAUCGGCGGCGGCCGGAGGAACCUCUGGGUGUUGGUGUCACCAAACCACUGCGAAGAACCGGUCGAGAGGGACCGGUAGUACUUGCGAGCCUUUCUUCUCUUGAUCGCCCUGUAGAUGUAUGGGAUCAGUCCUUCCAUUCUUUUCUCUGGUGGAAGUGUCGAUGGUUCUGUCAAGCCUCUCAUAAAGAGGGAGAAGAAAUCUGAGUUGACUUUGGAUCCUUCUUGAGUGAAUCCCUAUGCCGCAUUCGCUUGCAGAACAAGAAAUUGUUGUCAGGAUAAAGAUGGAAAUCUCCUGUCACCAACUGUCGUUAGAAAAGAUCAUGAAUAAGAUUAAACUGUCACAUCCUGUCACCAACUGUCACAUCAAAUAUAUAUACAUACAUAUAUAUAUAUAUAUAUAUAUAAAAUUUAUUUAUUAAAUUAUAUAUAAAUAAUCAUAUGUUUUAUUAAGAAAUAUGGUGAUAUUAACUUAAAAAUAAAUUCAACUAAUCUUACUUAAGCAUAGAGGAAUGUAUGCUAUUAUUGGAAUUAUCAUUGUGAGGUCAUUAUAAAAAUUAAAAAUAAAAAAAUUACAAUAACACUAAAAACCCCUAUUGUCAAUUGUAAAAUAAAUAUAAUCAAAAGUCAAUUAUCUCACUAGCGUAUAUCAAAUAUUCAAAAAAAUACUUUUCCAAUAAAUGGAUGAAGAAACUUUAUCAUACAAUAUUUGUUUAUGUUCUCCUAACAACGAAUGAGAAUAAACUCAUAUUGUUUCUCGUCUAUUAAAAUAUGAUCAUGUUCCUCCCAACAACGAACGGAGAAACUGUCUGUUGUCACGUUUGACGGCUUGCUAAUCCCUAAAGGGAAUUACCUUACAUACUCUCGGUAGGAAAACAAUAUCUAAUACUGAUUAUGUCUAUAUCGGGAUGAAAUAAUAUAUUAAAAUAUUUCUUAUAAAUAUCAUUAAUAUCAAAUAAUCUUAAUUGAUCCUUAAUUGACUUGAACUAUAGUUCAAUCGAUCUAAUUAAACUCAAUUUAAUUAGAACCGAUAUAAAUAGAUCUUUAAUCUUCAAAUAUAACCCAGUUCAAUCACGGUUUAAACCCAAAUCAAACAAAAUAAAAAUAAUUGGCUAGACCACAUAAUAUUGGGUUAGGUUGGGUUAUGUUUAUUGCAUAUGAUUUCUCGUGUUAGAUUGAACCGAACAAACCUAUAGGCUGGGGCUUGACUUACUAGCAACACUUAGCUUGUUAAUUGGGCUUGGCCUGUAGGUUAUGAUAUGACUUAUGAGAUAAGCAUGACCUGUUGUCUGGUCUUGGCCUGUGGACUAUGGCCUAGUGUUGGGUUGAGCCUAGCAUGUUGGUUGGGCUUGGCUUAUUGAUCGGCCUAGCCUACUGAAUAAUUUCAACUCAAAUCCUAACCAAUUCUUUCAAUUUUGAAUUACAAUGAAAUUAUAAUUAAGCAUCUAUUCAUUAGCAAUAAGUUAAUGAAAUAUAAUAAAUAAUAGUAAACUAAAUGAUAAAACUGCAUAAGCAGAAAAUAAUAUUCUUAAUAAUGUAUAAAUAGAAAAUAAUCAAAUAUUAUACAUUCAUAUCAUAUGUAUUUCUACUAUUUUUAUCUAUUAAAAAUUUUAGAAAUACAUAUGACAUAAAUAAUUUUAACAUGUUUUAAUCAUAAAAUAAAAUUCUAAACCUUUAAAAUAAUAAAAGAAGAUUUUAGAAACUUCAUAUAAUAUGUUUUAAUCUAAAACUAAAAUUUUUGAUAUUUAAAGAAAUAAAAAAUAUUUGAGAACUACAUAUCAUAUAUUUUAAUUCAAUAAUAAAAUUUUAAUCAUUUAAAGAAAAUAAAAUAAAUAUAUUUUUCAAGAAAAGCAAAGGAACUUACCUUUUAGGAUGUAACUCCUCUUCUCAGGCUUAGCUUAUCGAGAAUCGAAAAAGAUGAAUCAUUCCCCUUAAAUAGGAGGAGGUGAGUCAUUCAUAUAAGGAUUUUUUUAAUUUUUAUAUAUUUAUUAAAUAUUUAUAUUUAUUUAAUUUACUAACAAAAAGAUAUCACCCUACUUGAAAUGUUAUAUAAUUAUUUCCUAAAUCUCAUUAGCAAAAAUAAAAAAUAAAAAAUUAUGCCUAAAUUAGGGAUUUGAUUAUAUUUCUCUCCUCUUACAGAAAUUUGGUUCAAUAAUUUAGUUUAUCUCAAGAAAUUAUACAAAGAAACUACUCAUUCUAUCUUUAUCUCUUUCCCAAGUUGGUAUGAAUUGUGUUACCAAUUGAUCUUUAUCAAAUAUAUAACUUUAUUCCUAAGAAUAUGCUCUUUUCUUUCUAAGAUUCGGAUUGAUUGUUCUAUAAAGUUGACAUCAUCUUUUAAUUAUAUAAGUUGGUAAAAUAUAACAUAGGAUAUAUCUCUAAUAUAUCUUUGGAGCAUAGAGACGUGGAAGCCAUCUUAGAUGUUAUCCAAAUCUAGGGGUAAUGCCAACAUGUAUGUUAUAGGUUUGAUCUUAUUUAAGAUCUCAAAUAAGCCAAUGAAUCUAGAAACUAACUUUCGUCUUGCAAACAUGUUUAGUUUUCUCAUAGAAAUAAUAAAUUAUGAGAAUUUAAUUACUGAGAGUUCUUGCAUAUUGGUGUUUGAAUUGUUUGCUGUUAUCUUUUUUUUGAGGGUCGAUAAUGUGAUCCUCCAUAGGUGCAAUACUAAAAUAUUAAUUUUAAUCCUUUGCAUGUUACACCAUAGCUCGAUUGAGCACUUAGUAUAUUUUAGUAGAAUUAAUAAGACUUUCUAAUUGGUGGGCAAAGUCUCCUCUCCUUUAAUAUUCAUUAAAGGCGAGAGAAUUAGUUUUAUUAGAUUUUAUUUUUAUACAGAAUCAUAAUAUAUUUUCAUAAAUAUAUCCAAAAUCAAUCAAAUAAAUAAGCAUUAAAUCAUCCAAUUGAAGCGUUGACCCGAAGGAUUGUAUGAUGUCAUAAGUUUUAUUAUUUAGAUGGUUUAAUUAUUUCUUUAAACUCAUGUCCGAAUUUUCCCAGUCAUCAAAUUUUCUUCGACCACAAUUACAAAUACAAGCAACAAAACAAGACUUUUUCUGUUUUUGCUUAUAUAUUUAGAUCUAUUUGUUCCAUCUCUAAUUUUGACUUGGUCUUCUCCCAAAACCAAGAGUUGCUUGCAUCGUUCAAUGUUCAUCAUCGCACAGGUGAUUUCAACAACCAACUUAAUCUUAACUCAACAUAAUUCGAUCAUAUCUUACAAACAAGAUUGCAUAAUUUAUGCAACAUCAGAAGGAAUUCUUCUUCCUCCUCCUCCUACUAAGGAGACUUUAUGACAUGAACAGAUCAUUAUAAGAAGACUUGCAUCGAAAGGUACAUAAACACAACUUGUCUUCAAAGUUGAUGAAAUCUUCGAUCAUUCGUUCAUAUACAAGCAAUCUAAUUCGCACCAGUGAUGCAUGAGAACAUGCGGCUGCUCCCAAACCUCGUCUGCUUGGCCAAGCGGCCAUGUCCGCCGCCAACCCUCUCGGGCGAGAAGUCCUCCAGCGAGCGGUGCCUCCUGUGGCCAUUCUGGUCCUCAUGGAAACUCCCGAGCUUGAUCGGCGCCGGCCGGAGGAAUCUCUGGGUGUUAGGGUCGCCAAACCACUGCGAAGAACCGGUCGAGAGGGACCGGUAGUACUUGCGAGCCUUUCUUCUCUUGAUCGCCCUGUAGAUGUAUGGGAUCAGCCCUUCCAUUCUUUUCUCGGUUGGAAGAGUUUGAAGGUUCUGCCAAGCCUCUUAUAAGGAGGGAGAAGAAAGCUGAGUUGACUUUGGUUCCUUCUCGAGUUAAUCCGCAUGCCACAUUCGCUGGCAGAACAAGAAAUUGCUGUCAGGAUAAAGAUGGAAAUCUCCUGUCACCCACUGUCAUUAGAAAAGAUCAUGAAGAAGAUCAAACAAUGCAACAGUCAAUCACUUGGCGUAUAAUAAUCACCAAGACGAGAAAUGAGCUCUUGGAGUGUCGCUCUUGAUGAAGCUUGCUUCAUGCCGUCUCAACACUGCUGUUCUCAUCAUUGGUGGCUCGGGGUAGCGGGUUUCCAUGGUCCUGAAGGGACAGAGCCGUGCAUGAACAAGCCUCCUUGGUCACCUAACUCUUCACUGAUCACCAACUCUGUUUCUUCAGACCCAUGCCUCCCACAUUGGAAUUCCAUGGAAGGUGCAAUAAAUUAGUCAAGCAAAGUG
This 4379-nucleotide long non-coding RNA is filed under the name Musa acuminata (dwarf banana). Its description in RNAcentral is "long non-coding RNA (MACU_LNC004899)". The record is from RNAcentral. Lineage: Eukaryota; Viridiplantae; Streptophyta; Magnoliopsida; Zingiberales; Musaceae.